CCUACGGGAGGCAGCAGUGAGGAAUAUUGGGCAAUGGGCGCGAGCCUGAACCAGCCAAGUAGCGUGAAGGAUGACUGCCCUACGGGUUGUAAACUUCUUUUAUAAAGGAAUAAAGUGAGGCACGUGUGCCUUUUUGCAUGUACCUUAUGAAUAAGGAUCGGCUAACUCCGUGCCAGCAGCCGCGGUAAUACGGAGGAUCCGAGCGUUAUCCGGAUUUAUUGGGUUUAAAGGGAGCGUAGAUGGGUUGUUAAGUCAGGUGUGAAAGUGUGCGGCUCAACCGUAAAAUUGCAAUUGAUACUGGCAGCCUUGAGUGCAGGUGAGGUAGGCGGAAUUCGUGGUGUAGCGGUGAAAUGCUUAGAUAUCACGAAGAACUCCGAUUGCGAAGGCAGCUUACUAGACUGCAACUGACGUUGAUGCUCGAAAGUGUGGGUAUCAAACAGGAUUAGAUACCCCAGUAGUC
This 460-nucleotide ribosomal RNA is filed under the name uncultured bacterium. RNAcentral's name for it is "partial 16S ribosomal RNA". It matches the Rfam family "Bacterial small subunit ribosomal RNA", at positions 338 to 795 of the family's 1533-position model. The record is from RNAcentral.